This 209-nucleotide long non-coding RNA is filed under the name Nicotiana benthamiana. RNAcentral describes it as "long non-coding RNA (NBEN_LNC000289)". Lineage: Eukaryota; Viridiplantae; Streptophyta; Magnoliopsida; Solanales; Solanaceae. The record is from RNAcentral.
GUUCAGGGUAUGGCUCUGGGGAAGGCUCUGGAUAUGGUGAGGCUGAUGGAGUGCUUGGGAGUGGCGUAGGUGGUGGAGGUGGCGGGGGAGGCGGUGGUGGUGGAGCAAACUCUGGAAGGGGUAGUGGCUCAGGAUAUGGUUCUGGGUAUGGCUCAGGGUAUGGAUCGGGUGGAGGAAUAGGAAGGGGUGGUGGUGGUGGAGGCGGAGGU